Molecule: ribosomal RNA, 1120 nt
Filed under: Thelebolales sp. F3
Lineage: Eukaryota; Fungi; Ascomycota; Leotiomycetes; Thelebolales
Description: SSU rRNA
Rfam family: Eukaryotic small subunit ribosomal RNA
Source: RNAcentral
UGGUAAUUCUAGAGCUAAUACAUGCUAAAAACCUCGACUUCGGAAGGGGUGUAUUUAUUAGAUAAAAAACCAAUGCCCUUCGGGGCUCCUUGGUGAUUCAUGAUAACUUAACGAAUCGCAUGGCCUUGUGCCGGCGAUGGUUCAUUCAAAUUUCUGCCCUAUCAACUUUCGAUGGUAGGAUAGUGGCCUACCAUGGUUUCAACGGGUAACGGGGAAUUAGGGUUCUAUUCCGGAGAGGGAGCCUGAGAAACGGCUACCACAUCCAAGGAAGGCAGCAGGCGCGCAAAUUACCCAAUCCCGACACGGGGAGGUAGUGACAAUAAAUACUGAUACAGGGCUCUUUUGGGUCUUGUAAUUGGAAUGAGUACAAUUUAAAUCCCUUAACGAGGAACAAUUGGAGGGCAAGUCUGGUGCCAGCAGCCGCGGUAAUUCCAGCUCCAAUAGCGUAUAUUAAAGUUGUUGCAGUUAAAAAGCUCGUAGUUGAACCUUGGGCCUGGUUGGUCGGUCCGCCUCGCGGCGUGCACUGAUCCGACCGGGCCUUUCCUUCUGGGGAACCGCAUGCCCUUCAUUGGGUGUGUUGGGGAUCCAGGACUUUUACUUUGAAAAAAUUAGAGUGUUCAAAGCAGGCAUAUGCUCGAAUACAUUAGCAUGGAAUAAUAGAAUAGGACGUGUGGUUCUAUUUUGUUGGUUUCUAGGACCGCCGUAAUGAUUAAUAGGGAUAGUCGGGGGCAUCAGUAUUCCGUUGUCAGAGGUGAAAUUCUUGGAUUUACGGAAGACUAACUACUGCGAAAGCAUUUGCCAAGGAUGUUUUCAUUAAUCAGUGAACGAAAGUUAGGGGAUCGAAGACGAUCAGAUACCGUCGUAGUCUUAACCAUAAACUAUGCCGACUAGGGAUCGGGCGAUGUUAUCUUUUUGACUCGCUCGGCACCUUACGAGAAAUCAAAGUUUUUGGGUUCUGGGGGGAGUAUGGUCGCAAGGCUGAAACUUAAAGAAAUUGACGGAAGGGCACCACCAGGAGUGGAGCCUGCGGCUUAAUUUGACUCAACACGGGGAAACUCACCAGGUCCAGACACAAUAAGGAUUGACAGAUUGAGAGCUCUUUCUUGAUUUUGUGGGUGGU